This is an unclassified non-coding RNA of 327 nucleotides. The stretch from base 1 to 46 matches the Rfam family "Eukaryotic small subunit ribosomal RNA", at positions 1786 to 1831 of the family's 1831-position model.
AAGUCGUAACAAGGUUUCCGUAGGUGAACCUGCGGAAGGAUCAUUACUGAGUGGUUUUCGUCGCGAGACGAGCUGCCCGACCUGAUGUCAUUUGGAGCGGGGCUUGCUGGAGGGGGAAUGGGUUUGCGGUGACCCGGACGAGGCGGAAGCCUGGGAAGGGAAGGUGCGGACCGGCCCGCUGGCGGCUUGGCAUGUAAAUUUCGGCGGAAGAGGCAGGCUGUGACCUGCCCGCCGCCGGCGGUAACCUUUACGUUCUUGAGAAGCUGAAGUCUGAAUGAAAGCAAGGAAAAACAAGCAAAACUUUCAACAACGGAUCUCUUGGCUCUG